GUGGGGAAUAUUGGACAAUGGGCGAAAGCCUGAUCCAGCCAUGCCGCGUGUGUGAAGAAGGUCUUCGGAUUGUAAAGCACUUUAAGUUGGGAGGAAGGGCAGUAAGUUAAUACCUUGCUGUUUUGACGUUACCGACAGAAUAAGCACCGGCUAACUUCGUGCCAGCAGCCGCGGUAAUACGAAGGGUGCAAGCGUUAAUCGGAAUUACUGGGCGUAAAGCGCGCGUAGGUGGUUUUGUAAGUUGGAGGUGAAAUCCCCGGGCUCAACCAGGGAACUACCUCCAAAACUGCAUGACUAGAGUACGGUAGAGGGUAGUGGAAUUUCCUGUGUAGCGGUGAAAUGCGUAGAUAUAGGAAGGAACACCAGUGGCGAAGGCGACUACCUGGACUGAUACUGACACUGAGGUGCGAAAGCGUGGGGAGCAAACAGGAUUAGAAACCCCAGUAGUCC
This 450-nucleotide ribosomal RNA is filed under the name uncultured bacterium. RNAcentral's name for it is "partial 16S ribosomal RNA". It matches the Rfam family "Bacterial small subunit ribosomal RNA", at positions 354 to 796 of the family's 1533-position model. The record is from RNAcentral.